Molecule: ribosomal RNA, 481 nt
Filed under: uncultured bacterium
Lineage: Bacteria
Description: partial 16S ribosomal RNA
Rfam family: Bacterial small subunit ribosomal RNA
Source: RNAcentral
GAUGAACGCUGGCGGCGUGCCUAACACAUGCAAGUCGAACGGAGAUUACGGACGGAAGUUUUCGGAUGGAAGACUGUAAUUCUUAGUGGCGGACGGGUGAGUAACGCGUGGGCAACCUGCCCUAUACAGGGGGAUAGCAGCUGGAAACGGCUGGUAAGACCGCAUAAGUCGGUUAAAUCGCAUGAUUUGAUCGGGAAAUGAGCAAUCAGGUAUAGGAUGGGCCCGCGUCCGAUUAGCCAGUUGGCAGGGUAAAAGCCUACCAAAGCGACGAUCGGUAGCCGGACUGAGAGGUCGGACGGCCACAUUGGGACUGAGACACGGCCCAAACUCCUACGGGAGGCAGCAGUGGGGGAUAUUGCACAAUGGAGGAAACUCUGAUGCAGCGACGCCGCGUGAGUGAAGAAGUAUGUCGGUAUGUAAAGCUCUAUCAGCAGGGAAGAUGAUGACGGUACCUGACGAAGAAGCCCCGGCUAACUACGUG